UUGAUCUCAAAUCAAGUAGGACUACCCG
Molecule: ribosomal RNA, 28 nt
Filed under: Calyptella capula
Lineage: Eukaryota; Fungi; Basidiomycota; Agaricomycetes; Agaricales; Porotheleaceae
Description: partial 25S ribosomal RNA
Source: RNAcentral